This 609-nucleotide ribosomal RNA is filed under the name Triticum aestivum (bread wheat). RNAcentral's name for it is "partial small subunit ribosomal RNA". The record is from RNAcentral. Lineage: Eukaryota; Viridiplantae; Streptophyta; Magnoliopsida; Poales; Poaceae.
AUGCUGAAAGUGGCUAGUGACUUUUACAAAGACCUUUUUAAGAAAGAAAACCCUUCUGGUUUCUCUCUGCAAAACAACUUCUUCUCUGCUUCUGAAAAAGUCUCUCUUGCUGAAAAUGAGAUGCUUGAAGCACCUUUUUCAGAGGCAGAGGUGAAGGAAGCCAUUUUCAGCUCCUAUCCUGAUGGGUCUCCUGGCCCUGAUGGAAUUCCUUUCUUGUUUUACCAGUAUUUUUGGGACUUGGUGAAAAAAGAUCUCAUGGAUCUUUUCCAAGCCUUUCAUAGAGGAGAGUUAGAUAUAUACAGGCUCAAUUUUGCUAUGCUCUUCCUUAUUCCUAAAGAGCCUGAGGCCACUUCUAUAAAGAAAUUCAGGCCCAUCAGCCUGAUUAAUUGUAGUUUUAGGAUUUUCUCUAAAGUCCUCACUACUAGGCUUUCUAAAGUUUUGCAAAGGUUGAUUGCCAGCAACCAAUCUGCAUUUCUCAAGGGGAGGUAUAUAUUAGAAAGUGUGGUUACUGCUCAUGAAGUCCUCCACUCUGUUCAUUCAGGUGGGGAUAAAUGGCUGGUGCUUAAACUGGACUAUGAGAAAGCCUUUGAUAAAGUAGACCUCAAUUUC